UACGUAGGUGGCAAGCGUUGUCCGGAUUUACUGGGCGUAAAGAGCGCGCAGGCGGUCGUUCAAGUCGCGUGUGAAAGCCCCCGGCUCAACUGGGGAGGGUCACGCGAUACUGAUCGACUCGAAGGCAGGAGAGGGUAGUGGAAUUCCCGGUGUAGUGGUGAAAUGCGUAGAUAUCGGGAGGAACACCUGCGGCGAAGGCGGGUUGCUGGGCCGACACUGACGCUGAGGCGCGAAAGCCAGGGGAGCGAACGGG
Molecule: ribosomal RNA, 253 nt
Filed under: uncultured bacterium
Lineage: Bacteria
Description: partial 16S ribosomal RNA
Rfam family: Bacterial small subunit ribosomal RNA
Source: RNAcentral